This 440-nucleotide ribosomal RNA is filed under the name uncultured bacterium. RNAcentral describes it as "partial 16S ribosomal RNA". It matches the Rfam family "Bacterial small subunit ribosomal RNA", at positions 338 to 795 of the family's 1533-position model. The record is from RNAcentral.
CCUACGUGAGGCAGCAGUGGGGGAUAUUGCACAAUGGGGGGAACCCUGAUGCAGCGACGCCGCGUGGGUGAAGGAGCGUUUCGGCGCGUAAAGCCCUAUCGGCAGGGAAGAAGAUGACGGUACCUGGCCAAGAAGCCCCGGCUAACUACGUGCCAGCAGCCGCGGUAAUACGUAGGGGGCAAGCGUUAUCCGGAUUUACUGGGUGUAAAGGGGGCGCAGACGGCAAUGCAAGCCAGGAGUGAAAGCCCGGGGCCCAACCCCGGGACUGCGCUUGGAACUGGAUGGAUGGAGUACAGGAGGGGCAGGCGGAAUUCCUAGUGUAGCGGUGAAAUGCGUAGAUAUUAGGAGGAACACCGGUGGCGAAGGCGGCCUGCUGGACUGUGACUGACGUUGAGGCACGAAAGCGUGGGGAGCGAACAGGAUUAGAUACCCUUGUAGUC